UACGGGGGGGGCAAGCGUUGUUCGGAAUUACUGGGCGUAAAGGGUUUGUAGGUGGCUUGCUAAGUCAGACGUGAAAUCCCUCAGCUUAACUGGGGAACUGCGUCUGAGACUGGCAAGCUCGAGUGCAGGAGAGGAACGCGGAAUUCCAGGUGUAGCGGUGAAAUGCGUAGAUAUCCGGAGGAACACCAGUGGCGAAGGCGACACGCUGGGCCGUACCUGACACUGAACCGCGACAGCAUGGGGAGCAAACAGG
RNAcentral lists this ribosomal RNA (253 nucleotides) under uncultured bacterium. RNAcentral describes it as "partial 16S ribosomal RNA". It matches the Rfam family "Bacterial small subunit ribosomal RNA", at positions 524 to 776 of the family's 1533-position model. The record is from RNAcentral.